RNAcentral lists this unclassified non-coding RNA (175 nucleotides) under soil metagenome. RNAcentral's name for it is "partial internal transcribed spacer 1". The record is from RNAcentral.
CACAAUAAACAUAUGAAGGCUGCACCGCCAACAGGCGGCAAGGCUGGAGUAUUUUAUUACCCAUGUCUUUUGAGUACCUGUACGUUUCCUCGGGGGGUUCGCCCGCCUCCAUUGGACAAAUGAUAAACCUUUUAUGCAGUUGAAAUCAGCGUCAGUAAAAAACUGUAAUCAUUUA